This 756-nucleotide long non-coding RNA is filed under the name Homo sapiens (human). RNAcentral's name for it is "HSALNT0128726". The record is from RNAcentral. Lineage: Eukaryota; Metazoa; Chordata; Mammalia; Primates; Hominidae.
UCCCUAAGCAGAAGCUGCUGGAGGCCAUUUUAAGGCAAUAUGUGAGCUGGCGUGUCGCCUGCAACUGAGUUCAGAGGUGCUAAAGGAUCCUGAGUGGGGCUGGGGGUUUGCUGUGGAGGUUCAGGAAGAAAGGCUGGGUUUACGGGUCCAGGAACAAUUACUGCAGGUUUGUGAGGCCAACCGAGCCCCCACUAGGUGACAGCCAGACAGCAGUGGGAGAAGGGACGAUGGCGACGAGCAAAACGGCACGGCUGAAUAAUACCUGUGACCACGGGAGCUCCUGCCCCUGAUGCUAUCCUGACCCUCCCCAUCCCACCCAGCUGCAAAGCAGUUGUUGCUCUGCCACCUGCUGCCAGCAUGCGGGUGGGAAUGCGUGUGCAGCUCAAGGGUGGCAUCGUGUGGUCAUAGUGGGGUAGUGCACCUCACAGCUUCCAAAGAGCUUCAUUCUGCGGAGUCACUCAAGGAAUUUUGAGUCUAUGUGCCAGACUCUGUUCUAGGACUGCAAGAUCUUUCCUAACAGAAUCAGAGUUUUUGUGAGGAGCAGUCUUGAGGGGUGCAUGCUAGAGCCCCUUGGUGAGCGUGUCUACAGCCAGACUGCUCUAGGGCACCUUUCAAAGUGGCUUCUGGGUCCACAUCUCAGGCAUUUGACGACUUAACCCUUUGCAUGAGCCUCGCAAAUUGCAACUCAAAUCCCUGCCACCCUAGAGAACCUAUUCCCUCCAGAGGGAGAGGGACUCAGGAGAGGCACUAUUCCAA